UACCGAGUUUACAACUCCCAAACCCCUGUGAACAUACCACUUGUUGCCUCGGCGGAUCAGCCCGCUCCCGGUAAAACGGGACGGCCCGCCAGAGGACCCCUAAACUCUGUUUCUAUAUGUAACUUCUGAGUAAAACCAUAAAUAAAUCAAAACUUUCAACAACGGAUCUCUUGGUUCUGGCAUCGAUGAAGAACGCAGCAAAAUGCGAUAAGUAAUGUGAAUUGCAGAAUUCAGUGAAUCAUCGAAUCUUUGAACGCACAUUGCGCCCGCCAGUAUUCUGGCGGGCAUGCCUGUUCGAGCGUCAUUUCAACCCUCAAGCACAGCUUGGUGUUGGGACUCGCGUUAAUUCGCGUUCCCCAAAUUGAUUGGCGGUCACGUCGAGCUUCCAUAGCGUAGUAGUAAAACCCUCGUUACUGGUAAUCGUCGCGGCCACGCCGUUAAACCCCAACUUCUGAAUGUUGACCUCGGAUCAGGUAGGAAUACCCGCUGAACUUAAGCAUAUCA
This 504-nucleotide ribosomal RNA is filed under the name Fusarium sp. TA-WS1102-BCA-2. RNAcentral's name for it is "eukaryotic LSU rRNA". The stretch from base 151 to 304 matches the Rfam family "5.8S ribosomal RNA". The record is from RNAcentral. Lineage: Eukaryota; Fungi; Ascomycota; Sordariomycetes; Hypocreales; Nectriaceae.